CUCUGAAGAGGGCGUUUCCCCCCCUGACAGACCCCCACCCCCUCGGCAGGUAGAGUCGGGGCUUGUACCCCCGAUCUCGGGACGAAGGGAAGCUCACUCCCACUCUCCACGCUGAGCUCCCAGCCAGAGGCGCCUGUUGAGUGUCAGUGUGUGUCAGUGUGUGGGUGUCCUCAGAAGGGAACUCUGUACCUGUGUGUGUCAGUGUGUGAGUGUCCUCAGAAGGGAACUGUACCUGUGUGUGUGUGUCAGUGUGUGAGUGUCCUCAGAAGGGAACUGUACCUGUGUGUCAGUGUGUGUCAGUGUGUGUCAGUGUGUGUCAGUGUGUGUCAGUGUGUGAGUGUCCUCAGAAGGGAACUGUACCUGUGUGUCAGUGUGUGUCAGUGUGUGAGUGUCCUC
This 396-nucleotide long non-coding RNA is filed under the name Lepisosteus oculatus (spotted gar). RNAcentral describes it as "lncRNA (ENSLOCG00000022401.1)". Lineage: Eukaryota; Metazoa; Chordata; Actinopteri; Semionotiformes; Lepisosteidae. The record is from RNAcentral.